This 771-nucleotide ribosomal RNA is filed under the name uncultured bacterium. Its description in RNAcentral is "bacterial SSU rRNA". It matches the Rfam family "Bacterial small subunit ribosomal RNA", at positions 9 to 825 of the family's 1533-position model. The record is from RNAcentral.
GAGUUUGAUCCUGGCUCAGAACGAACGCUGGCGGCAGGCCUAACACAUGCAAGUCGAGCGAGACCUUCGGGUCUAGCGGCGGACGGGUUAGUAACGCGUGGGAACGUACCCUUUUCUGCAGGAUAGCCACUGGAAACGGUGAGUAAUACUGCAUACGCCCUUCGGGGGAAAGAUUUAUCGGAGAAGGAUCGGCCCGCGUUAGAUUAGAUAGUUGGUGGGGUAACGGCCUACCAAGUCUACGAUCUAUAGCUGGUUUGAGAGGAUGAUCAGCAACACUGGGACUGAGACACGGCCCAGACUCCUACGGGAGGCAGCAGUGGGGAAUCUUAGACAAUGGGCGCAAGCCUGAUCUAGCCAUGCCGCGUGAGUGAUGAAGGCCUUAGGGUCGUAAAGCUCUUUCGCCUGUGAAGAUAAUGACUGUAGCAGGUAAAGAAACCCCGGCUAACUCCGUGCCAGCAGCCGCGGUAAUACGGAGGGGGUUAGCGUUGUUCGGAAUUACUGGGCGUAAAGCGCGCGUAGGCGGACAUUUAAGUCAGAGGUGAAAUCCCAGGGCUCAACCCUGGAACUGCCUUUGAUACUGGGUGUCUUGAGUUCGAGAGAGGUGAGUGGAAUUCCGAGUGUAGAGGUGAAAUUCGUAGAUAUUCGGAGGAACACCAGUGGCGAAAGGCGGCUCACUGGCUCGAUACUGACGCUGAGGUGCGAAAGUGUGGGGAGCAAACAGGAUUAGAUACCCUGGUAGUCCACACCGUAAACGAUGAAUGCCAGUCGUCG